GGAGUCCAUCUUGCGUUUGACUUCGGCUCUGACUCCGGUUAGGUCCUUCUGAUCUGCCAGAAGCAAACCUGUCGUCAAACGAGGAAGAGAAUAUCCGUGCUCCUUUCUUCCGAAUCCAGGGCUGAAACAUCGACUCUUGCGGAUCGGAGACCACCCGCUUUAUCACGGCAAGAUGUGCGCCGAAUUUAGCAGCUUCGUCAUCGCCCUGAUGGACGUCAUAGCGCGAACCUCAAAACAGCUCGGGGGCCUCGUCCAGCAGAAGAUGUUGUGCGGAGCUUCGAAGUCGAUGCAGGAGUGCUCUGUCACGGCCGCGGUGAAUGGAGGCGUCACUUCUCAGCAGGUGACGUCGACCAGAGAGAAGGUCGAGUAGACAGAAAAUCUAAAUCGCUUCCAACCGUGGUAUUUUGAUCCAUUUUAGUUCUGUUGAUGUAAAGUGACCCUCUCGUUUUUCGGCGUUUCCUCCGAGAAUAAAAACAAAUCCUUCUAAA
Molecule: long non-coding RNA, 488 nt
Organism: Galendromus occidentalis (western predatory mite)
Lineage: Eukaryota; Metazoa; Arthropoda; Arachnida; Mesostigmata; Phytoseiidae
Exons: 3
Source: RefSeq, a predicted model, not a curated record